AGUACCACGGGACACGUGAAACCCUGUGGGAAGCAGGAGGGACCACCCUCCAAGGCUAAAUACUACCUAGUGACCGAUAGCGUAUAGUACCGUGAGGGAAAGGUGAAAAGAACCCCGGGAGGGGAGUGAAAUAGAACCUGAAACCCUGCACUUACAAGCUGUGGAAGCACAUUUCUUGUGUGACCGCGUACUUUUUGUAGAACGGGCCAACGAGUUACGUUAAGUAGCAAGGUUAAGCACUUAAGGUGCGGAGCCGUAGCGAAAGCGAGUUUUAACUGAGCGUUCAGUUACUUGACGUAGACCCGAAACCGGGCGACCUACCCAUGAGCAGGAUGAAGCGAAAGUAAAAUUUCGUGGAGGUCCGAACCCACGAGCGUUGAAAAGCUCGGGGAUGACUUGUGGGUAGCGGUGAAAUUCCAAUCGAGCCCGGAGAUAGCUGGUUCUCCCCGAAAUAGCUUUAGGGCUAGCCUCAAGGUGAGAGAUACGGAGGUAGAGCACUGAAUGUCCUAGGGGGUAUUGCACCUACCGAAGACUAUCAAACUCCGAAUGCCGUCAUCUUAUACUUGGGAGUCAGACUGUGGGUGAUAAGAUUCAUAGUCGAAAGGGCAACAGCCCAGAUCGUCAGCUAAGGUCCCUAAAUGUAAGUUAAGUGGUAAAGGAUGUGGGAUUGCACAGACAACCAGGAUGUUGGCUUAGAAGCAGCCACUCAUUCAAAGAGUGCGUAAUAGCUCACUGGUCGAGUGAUCCUGCGCCGAAGAUUUCCGGGGCUAAAACUU
This 776-nucleotide ribosomal RNA is filed under the name Clostridioides difficile. Its description in RNAcentral is "partial 23S ribosomal RNA". It matches the Rfam family "Bacterial large subunit ribosomal RNA", at positions 411 to 1189 of the family's 2925-position model. Lineage: Bacteria; Bacillati; Bacillota; Clostridia; Peptostreptococcales; Peptostreptococcaceae. The record is from RNAcentral.